Molecule: long non-coding RNA, 95 nt
Organism: Etheostoma spectabile (orangethroat darter)
Lineage: Eukaryota; Metazoa; Chordata; Actinopteri; Perciformes; Percidae
Exons: 3
Source: RefSeq, a predicted model, not a curated record
AGACAUGCUGGGAGAAUUCCGAAAACAAAGUGAAAUGGUUUAUGAAAUAUCUUUUUCUUAUUUGUUCUCCCAAUGUUUGCUGUGAAAACUCUGUC